Molecule: long non-coding RNA, 2422 nt
Filed under: Marmota monax (woodchuck)
Lineage: Eukaryota; Metazoa; Chordata; Mammalia; Rodentia; Sciuridae
Source: RNAcentral
GGGUGGAGGUGCUAAGGAUUGAACUCAGGGCCCUUUACCAUUGAGCUGCACCCCCAACCUUUUUUACUUUUUAUUUUGAGAAACAGGGACUCACUCAGUUGCUAAGGCUUGCCUCAAACUUGGGAUCCUCCUGCCUAGCCUCCCAAGUUGGUGGGAUUGUAGGCAUGUGGCACUGUUCCCAGUCUAAGAAGGUUUUUAAUAAUAAAUAAUUUGUUAAAUAAAGAGCUAUUGAGAUUUUGGUUAGGAAAGUUAUAUUUUCAAGGAAUUUAUUCACGUGGCCCAAGUUGUCAGGUUUGUAGUUUUGUAAUAGUCCUUUCUUUCCUUUUAUGUCUGUAGGUACUGUGGCGAAAACUACUUUUUCAUUCUAAUUCUUGUAAUUUCCUCUUGUUUGUUUGUUAGUUUUUGUGGCACUGGGAUGGAACCCAGGACCUUGCGCAUGGUAGGCAAGUGCUCCAUCACUGAGGUAUCUCCCAGCCCUGAUACUGGUAAUUUCGGUUCUCUCUUUCCUUAUGAGUCCAGCACUAGGGAUCUAUUAACUUUGUUCAUCUGAUUUUCCAUGAACCAAUGUUGGCUUUGUUAGUUUUUCUCAAUUGUUUUUGAUUUCAAUGAUUUCUGUUCUUUAUUAGUUCCUCUCUUAGUUUAGCUUGGAUUUACUUUAUUCUUUUUUCUUUAGCUUCCUAAGAUAAGCCUUAGAUCAUUGAGUUGACUUUUUAGUAUAAAUAUUUAAUCUAAGUUUUCUAUUAAAUGCUACUUAAGUUAUAUCUUGACCAUAUUAACAUUUUUAUCAUCAUCAAGUUUAAAUAUUUUGAUUUCCUAGAGUUCUUUGACUCAUGAAUUAGCUAGAAGUGUGUUGUCUAGUUAGCAAAUGUUUGUCUCCCUCCCACCCCAAAGAUCAUAUUGGUACUGAUUUCUACUUUAAUCCCAUUGAGAUCAGAAAAUAUCCUCUUUAUAGUUUCAGUCCUUUUGGUUUUAUCAAGACCUGUUUUAUGACCCAGUAUUUAUUUUAUCAAUUUUUGCUUUGUAGUCUAGUGUUCUGUAACUGUUUUCCUAAUCAAACAAUUUUUUGGUGUCAGGGUUAGAACCAGGGCCUUAGGCAUGCUAGGCCAGAACUCACUGAGCUUCGCCCCACCCCAGUACUGAACAUUUUAUCAUUGUGAAAUUUCCCUCUUUAAUCUCUGGUAACACUUUUUGGUUAAAAGUCUACUUUAUCUAACGUGAGUGUAGCCACUCCAGCCUUAUACUUCACUAUUUACAGUGUACUUCUGUACCUUUUUCUAUUCAUUUACUUACUACCUCUCUGUGUCUAUUUUAAAGUGUGUUUCUUACAUAAAGCAUGUAUUAAGGGCUAGCAUUUUUUAGUCUAUCUCGACCUUUUAAUUGGUUUACCAUUAAAUGUAGUUUCUUUUGGGGGGUAUAGCACUAGGGAUUGAACCCAGAGGUGCUCAAUCGCUGAGCCACAUUCCCAGAUUGUUUUUUUUAAAUGUUGAGCAGGGUCUCACUGAGUUGCUUAGGGCCUCUCUAAGUUGUUGCGGCUGGCUUUGAAGUUACAGUCCUGCCUCAGCCUCCUGAGCCACUGGGAUUACAGGAAUAUACCACUGUGUCCUAGCUAAAUGUAAUUAGUGGUUUUUUUUUUUUUUUUGGUACCAGGGAUUAAACCCAUGGGCAGCUAACCACUGAGCCACAUCCUAACCUUUUUUUUUUUGUUUUUUUAUUUUGAGAUAGGGUCUCACUAAAUUGCUUAGAGCCUUUUUAAGUUGCUGAAGUUGGUUUUGAACUUGCUUUAGCCUCCCGAGCUGCAGGAUUACAGGUGUGCGCUACUGCACCCAGCCAGUUUGAUUUAGAUCUAACAUUUUACUGUCUUUUUUGUUGUUGUUUGGUUGGAUUAGUUGGUUGUUUGAGAAGUACAUUUAAUUUAUUGGUGUUUUAGCUGUACUCUGCAUAAUUAUUUUAGUGUUAUAUUAUAAGGAUCACAAUAUAUGUUCCUACUUUUUCAUUCUGCUAACAGUAAAUAUGCCAUUUCACAUAAAAUGUAGAAUCCUUUAAAUCUAUAGGUCGAUUUAUCAUCCCUAUCUUUUAUAUUGUAGUUGUCACAUGUAUUGAAUCUAUAAACUCUGUAAUAUAAUUUGUGCUUUAAAUAAUAUGUAUUUUACUUUUUUAGAGUACAUUCUUUUUUUAAUACAUUUAUUUUAUGUAUGUUUUAUGUGGUGCCGAGGAUCAAACCCACGGCCUCAUACGUUCGAGGCAAGCGCUCUUCCACUGAGCCACAGCCCCAGCCCUUAAAUAAUAUGUAUUUUAAAGAAGAGAAAAAAAAAUUUUUAAAUGUACCUUUUUAUAUUUAUCUGCGUAUUUACCCUUCUGGAAGGUCUGGUAUCAUUUCUCUUCAGCCUGAAGAACUUCGUUUCUACCAUUUUAUGUAGCACAG